GGUCAGGCGAGCGCGCGCCUCUGCCCUGCUGUUCUCGGUUGAGAGCAUCGGUUCGGCUACCUGCACCUCGUGCUCGCUGCUUCCUUUUCACCGCGGCCUGGUGGUUCCGACCCGAGGGCCGUGAACCCUGAGGACAGGUGAGCGCGUAGGCUCACGGACGUCAAGGAGAUGCGGGGGUGUAUUGUUGAGCAAUUAAGCCAGGGAGCAGCCUCUCAGCUUUGAGGAACCUUCCCAAGAGGUAGGAUUGGUGUGUUCCAGGCUGACUGGCAUUCAAUCAGGAUGCCCGCCUGUCAUAGCUUAUUAAUAUGUGGCAAGAUGCCAACUCGGGCCUCCAGAGGUAGCAGAGCCUUGCCCAAGGAGGAGGAUCUCGAGUCAACCAUAGCUACGAGUCAAUAUAUGGAUAUUGAUCCGAGUGUCCUGGCUCUCCUGUGACUACUGUAUAGACUGCUUCCACUAUUUUGAAGUACAUGGUGCCCUCUGGUGGCCAUUCCUACCCCAUAGUGGGCCAUUCGACCUCAGAGUAUGCGGAGGUGGUUAGGCACCAUCUUUACCCCAUAGUGAAAGUGAAGUCGCUCAGUCGUGUCUGACUCUUAGCGACCCCACGGACUGCAGCCCUCCAGGCUCCUCCAUCCAUGGGAUUUUCCAGGCAAGAGUACUGCAGUGGGUUGCCGUUUCCUUCUCCAAUGCAUGAAAGUUAAAAGUGAAAGUGAAGUCGCUCAGUCACGUCCGACUCUUAGCGAUCCCAUGGACUGCAGCCUACC
This is a long non-coding RNA of Bos taurus (domestic cattle), 761 nucleotides long. Lineage: Eukaryota; Metazoa; Chordata; Mammalia; Artiodactyla; Bovidae. The record is from Ensembl.